UUACGGCCAUAUCACAUUGAAACACCGGUUCUCAUACAAUCACCGAAGUUAAGCAACAUCGAGUCUGGUCAGUACCUAGAUGGGUGACCUAGAUGGGUGACCGCUUCCAAAUACCAGGUGCUGUA
This is a non-coding RNA of Acanthosepion pharaonis, 125 nucleotides long. The record is from the annotation of a GenBank genome assembly. NCBI's taxonomy places the organism in Eukaryota, Metazoa, Mollusca, Cephalopoda, Sepiida, Sepiidae.